GACGAACGCUGGCGGCGUGCUUAACACAUGCAGGUCGAACGGAAAGGCCCUGCUUUUGUGGGGUGCUCGAGUGGCGAACGGGUGAGUAACACGUGAGUAACCUGCCCUUGACUUUGGGAUAACUUCAGGAAACUGGGGCUAAUACCGGAUAGGAGCUCCUGCUGCAUGGUGGGGGUUGGAAAGUUUCGGCGGUUGGGGAUGGACUCGCGGCUUAUCAGCUUGUUGGUGGGGUAGUGGCUUACCAAGGCUUUGACGGGUAGCCGGCCUGAGAGGGUGACCGGCCACAUUGGGACUGAGAUACGGCCCAGACUCCUACGGGAGGCAGCAGUGGGGAAUAUUGCACAAUGGGCGGAAGCCUGAUGCAGCAACGCCGCGUGCGGGAUGACGGCCUUCGGGUUGUAAACCGCUUUCGCCUGUGACGAAGCGUGAGUGACGGUAAUGGGUAAAGAAGCACCGGCUAACUACG
RNAcentral lists this ribosomal RNA (466 nucleotides) under uncultured bacterium. RNAcentral describes it as "partial 16S ribosomal RNA". It matches the Rfam family "Bacterial small subunit ribosomal RNA", at positions 28 to 505 of the family's 1533-position model. The record is from RNAcentral.